Molecule: long non-coding RNA, 151 nt
Organism: Oreochromis aureus
Lineage: Eukaryota; Metazoa; Chordata; Actinopteri; Cichliformes; Cichlidae
Exons: 3
Source: RefSeq, a predicted model, not a curated record
AGAAAAUUAGACAAACUUUGGCCCCAGCCACAAAGAAGGAAACUAUUGAAAAGGGGAGGGAGUGUGUCCUCAGGGCACUACCUUUUUACCUGAAUGAAGACCCAACCAUCCUCUUCAAAGAAUAAUUGCUACAGCUACAGCUGUUCAGAGG